UAAUUAGGGGUGAAAGGCCUAUCAAACUUGGAAAUAUCUUGUUCUCUCCGAAAUAACUUUAGGGUUAGCCUCGACAACCUCCAUGCAGGGGGUAGAGCACUGGAUCCCUGAGGGGGCCUACCGGCCUACCGACGGGAACCAAACUCCGAAUACCUGUAUGGCAGUCGGGAGAUAGACAGCGGGGGAUAAGCUUCGUUGUCAAGAGGGGAACAGCCCAGAUCGCCGAUUAAGGCCCCUAAUUCUAGUUUAAGUGUGUAAGGAAGUGAAGUCUCAAAGACAGUUGGGAUGUUGGCUUAGAGGCAGCCAUCAUUUAAAGAGUGCGUAACAGCUCACCAAUCGAGAGAUUUUGCGCCGAUAAUAUUCGGGACUAAAGACUAGAGCCGAAAUCGCGGAUUCACAUGUUUACAUGUGAGUGGUAGGAGAGCGUAGUAGUCAGCGCUGAA
RNAcentral lists this ribosomal RNA (443 nucleotides) under Symbiodinium sp. clade D. RNAcentral describes it as "partial Bacterial large subunit ribosomal RNA". It matches the Rfam family "Bacterial large subunit ribosomal RNA", at positions 812 to 1254 of the family's 2925-position model. The record is from RNAcentral. Lineage: Eukaryota; Dinophyceae; Suessiales; Symbiodiniaceae.